CUCCCGCCAGGCGGCCAAGUCCGUCGUCGCCGCGGGCCUCGCCAAGAGGUGCAUCGUGCAGCUCUCUUACGCCAUCGGCGUCCCCGAGCCCCUCUCCGUGUUUGUCGACACCUACGGCACCGGCACCAUCCCCGACGAGGAGAUCCUCGCCAAGGUCAAGGCGGCCAUGGACUUCCGCCCCGGUCCCGUCGGCCGCGACCUCGACCUCAAGAGGUCCACCUCCAAGACCUCCGGCAAGAACAACCGCUACCAGCAGACCGCCGCGUACGGCCACUUCGGCCGCGACGAUUACGACGUGUUCACCUGGGAGAAGCCCGUGGCUCUCUAAGCGCAUAUAUAAAUACCUUUAAGGUGUGAUAUUACGCUUAGUUGAGGUUUAGGGGGUUGAUUCGGCCGGGGGGGGAAACUUAGGACGCGCUAUUACGAACUGCUAC
This 434-nucleotide long non-coding RNA is filed under the name Micromonas commoda. RNAcentral's name for it is "long non-coding RNA (MCOM_LNC000470)". Lineage: Eukaryota; Viridiplantae; Chlorophyta; Mamiellophyceae; Mamiellales; Mamiellaceae. The record is from RNAcentral.